AGGUAUGGACAAGGUUCUGACCCUUAUUAUUGGAACUCAAAUCCAGAUGGAGUUUGGUAAGGUUCUAAUCAUUUGAGGGGUAUUCUUUUUUUUGAAGAUUUGUACAUCUUCAGGGGAAUUUCUACUUUAAAGAAGUUAUCAUUUGUGGGAGGUCCGUUAUGAAGAUUUUAAAUAGUUUGAGGGAAUUCCUCUGUCUUUGAAGAUGUCUAUAUUCAGUGAAAACAUUUGCCAACUUAGAUGGUCACAUUUCCCUACUACAAAACCUCUCCUUCGAAAAUGAAUCAAAUCCCCCUUGUAAUGUAUUGGCUGUACGGAGGCUUAAGGGUUUUUUCUUUCUUUCUUUUCUUCGCUAACAUUGGAAACACUGAAAAGAACAUUUUUGUGUUUGAGUGAAAGUAAGAUUUAAAGUGGUACUGGGAGACAACCAAAAUGGCAAAAUAAUAAACACAUAUGUUAAUAUCAUUGAGUGGAAGAUUAAAAUAGCAAUGAUCAAAGACAAGCGUGGUUCAAUGUGUGACAUUUCUUUCUUGCAACUUAUUGUGUCAUUAUGGAAGCCUUAUUGUCUGGAAAAAAAGGUUCAAAGGCAGUUUUAAAGAUGCUUAGUUAAAGGCUAAAGUCAGUAUGGUUUAAAAGGUAACUGAUCUAUAGAUGAACUAAUAACUACCAACAGCAUCAUUUUUUUCCCCAGUCUGUAGUUGACAGAGCUCCCUCCCUCUUACCCCACAGCAAGGCAGGAGUCAGACCAGUUUCAGCUCCAGAGGUUUUCAAUCUCCAAACCAUUGGCUCCCUGAAACUGGAGUCCCUGGAUUUCGUGACUCCCAGAAUCACUUUCUAGAUAAAUUACCGGUGCCCAAAACUUUGCCCAAGGUUCUACUUUCAGAGAAACACUAACCAAGACAAACAACACAAUUAAAAAUCACUAGAUAGUAUAUGAGAAGGAAUAUAGGCUAUGUGAAAGAAUUGAGCAGGGCAGGGAGACUGGGGGUACAAGGUUGGAGUGGAAGAUGGCUGGUUGAGAUUUUAAAUAGAGUGGUCAGGAAAGACCUACCGAGUCAAGUGACAUUUGAACAAAGAAUGAAAGGUGAAUGAGUUGACCCAAAAGAUGCAUGGUGAAGAGAGUUCCCAGGAGUGGGGGAGGCAGGGCAAAGGCCUUGAGACUGGAGCCUGUGUGGCAUAUGGUUGCAAGGGUGAGACCUGGGGACAGGGGAUGAGAGCAGAGGUAAGAGGGCAGGAAAGAAUUUGAGAUGAGAGUCCAUAGAAGGCUGUAGACCAACGAGCUCCCCACACAGACACUGGGCUGGUCAAAUAUGCCUCCUUCUCUUCCUACUUGUCCGUUAUGGCAAGGGGAUUGGAUGGUAAUUAUGCCUCCCUAUUUGAUUUCUGACUUUAUUCAUUCAUCUGUAAAAUGAAAAUGACAAUUUUUAUUGUUAUUAAAUCUGUAGAUGUGAAAGUCACCAUUUGUGGGGAAAGGUUGAGUUUUAAAACCUUUAUUUUCUUGGGAAAUAAUUAUUUCCAAGCCCCUUGUCUCCAUAUCUAAGGAAAGUCACCAGAUGGAAGAAUGAGAUUCCUUUUGUUCCUGAAAGCUAUUUUGAUUUCCAAGCUAAAAAAAAAAAAAAACAAACAAAAAAAAAAAAAAACAGUUUGGAGCAUGAUAAUCUGUUAUCGGCAUGCUAGAGAGUAGUCCCAAAUGAAAGAGAUAUGAAUAUUCAAGUACAUUUUAUUUGGGAGAUUUCAGAUUAGCUUCCCCAUUUGCUACUUUACUAUUUAAUGAAAUGAGAGAGCAUGAGUGUAUGUUAGCAUUUUCUUUCACAUAUUAUGAUCGUUCUUACUUAAAAUUUGAACUUUAUAAAUUAAUGUUGAUGCAUGAUUAACUGGUUUCUUGAUAUUUGGCUUUGAUAUUUUUUUUCUUUUAUGCUAAAUUUCUUUUCCCAACUUCAAAAUAUAACAUUUUACUUUUGUGUUAACAGUCAUUUGAGAAGCAAAAGCCUCCUUCUUUCCUUUUCUUCCUCCCUCCAUUUUUUCCUCCCUCCCUUCCUUCCUAGACAGACAUGUGCCCAUCUAUACUUAGUCAUCUGUGCAAAGCAUGCCCAAAAUUGUACCCGGAAUUGUAACUGGAAAAGUCCUGUGAUGCCAACUAUAUCUGAACUUUAGGAUGUCACUCCUUUACUUUUGUAUGAAGAUUUAGUUAUGAUAGAAAACCGCAUUGAAGUGUAUGUUUCAACACAAUUUCAGAUGAUAAUGUGAUUAUAAAAUUAUGCAUUUAAAUAUGCAGAUUUUAUAUAAUUAUAGAAAAAGGCUAUAUUUGGUUGUGAAUAAGAUAAUGAGGCUUUGGGGGGAAAACGGUUUUAUAAGUUACUUUAUUAAUCUCAUGUACUAAAGAGGUAGAACAAGAAAGAAGUGAUUUUUUUUACAUUUAUUUAUUUUUGAGAAACAGAGUGAGACAAAGCAUGAGCGGUGGAGGGGCAGAGAGAGAAGGAAGCACAGAAUCUGAAGCAGGCUCCAGGCUCUGAGCAAGCUGUCAGCACAGAGCCUGAUGCGGGGCUUGAACCCACAAACUGUGAGAUGAUGACCUAAGCUGAAGUCGGACGCUCAACCAACUGAGCCACCCAGGUGCCCCAAGAGAGAAGUGAUUUAAAAAUAUAUAUGACUUACUUUUCCUCUGUUUUUUUUUUUCAAAGUUUAUUGUGAGAGGGUGGGGGAGGGGGAGAGAAAGUGAGAGAGAGAGAGAGAGAGAGAGAGAAUCCCAAGCAGACUCCACACUGUCAGUGCAGAGCCCAAUGUGGAGCAUGUGAGAUCAUGAUCUGGGCUGAAAGUCAAGCACUUAACCAAAUGAGCCACCCAGGUGCCUUUCUUUCCUUUGUUCUUAAAGCACAAAAUGAUGAUGAGGAACUUAGAUCAUGGAUUUUGGUAAUUAUAAUUUUCCCAAGAAAAAAAUCUAUCACUUCUACAUUUCAAAAUGCAUUGAUAUAAGGCCCUUAUAGUAUAUUUGCAAGUGAAAAAUUGUCAUAUUUAUUAUUUGCCCCUUUCAUUUUCCUAAUGGUCUUUAUUUGUAUUUUCUCUCUUUUUAUCUUGGAUAGACUUGCAAAAGGUUAUCUACUAUAUUGCUGUUACCAUGUUUUUGGUUUUAUUGAAACUUAAUUUUCAAAUUCAUAUUUUAGGAUUUUAUAUUCACUGGUUCUGACCUUGUAGUUUCAUUGCAUUUAUUGUGUAUUAUAUUCCUUGCUUCUCUAUUUGGUGUAUGCAUUUAUUUUCAAUCUUUCUUGUACUCUGAUUAAAUACAUUUAAGACCAUCAAUUUCCAUUGCUUGCUUCUUCAGGCAAACUUCAUAGUUGUUCAUUAAGAGCAUGCUCAUUAUUAUCAUUUUUUAAAAAAAAUUUAUGAUUAUUUGUUUCUGAGACAAAGAGACAGAGCACGAGUGGGGAAGGGGCAGAACGAGAGGGAGAAACAGAAUCAGAAGCAGGCUCCAGGCUCUGAGCUGUCAGCACAAAGCCCUAUGUGGGGCUCGAACUCACAAACUGUGAGAUCAUAACCUGAGCCAAAGUCGGUCGCUCAACCAACUGAGCCACCCAGGCGCCCCUCAUUAUUAUCAUUUUAAAGUUUCUACAUAGUUUCUCAUUUCCAUUUUGUGUUGAUCUACAAUUCAUAUAAAAUUUCAUAUAAAGUAAAAUUCAUAAUUUUUAUAAUUUUAGAGUACAUAGUUUUAAGUGCACUUUAUAAAGUUCAAAAUAUGUGCAACCAUCCCCACUAUCCAAUUCCAGAAUAUUUCCAUCACUGCGAAAAAGAAAUCUUAUACUCAUUCACUCCCUAUUACCCUCUACCUCCAGCUCCUGGCAAUUAGUCUACUUUCUGUAUCUACGAUUUUCCCAUUCUGGUUGUUUCGUACAAAUGGAGUCAUAUAAUAUGUUGCCUUUUGCGUCUGGCUUCUUUCACUUAGCAAUGUUUUUAAAGUUCAUCAUGUUGUAGCCUGUAUUAGUACUCUUCAUUCUUAAUAAUAUCCAGAAUUGCUGAAUAAUAUUCCAUUGUGUGGACAUACCACGUUUUGUUUAUCCAUUCAAUAGUUAGUGGACAUAUGAGUUGUUCUGACUUUUUGGCUGCUGUUAAUUCUGUUGCUAUGAACAUUUGUGUACAGAUUUUUGUAUGAACAUAUGUUUUCACUUCUGUUAGGUAUAUAUCUAGGAGUGGGAUUGCCAGGUCAUAUGGCAACUCCCUAUUUAAUCAUUGGAGGAACUGCCAGACACUUUUCCAAGGGGGAUGAAGCAUUUUAUAUUCUCACCAGCAAUGUACAAGGGCUCUAAUUUUUCCACAUUUCCUCCAAAACUUGUUAUUUUAUGGGUUUUUAAAAAAUAUUAUAACCAUCCUAAUGGGUGUGAAAUGACAUCUCAUUUGGUUUUGAUUUUUAUUUCUAUAAGUACUGAUAUGGAACAUCUUUUCAUAUGCUAUUAGACAUUUCUACAUCUUCUUUGGAGAACUGUCUAAAUUCUUUGUCAACUUUUUAUUGGGUUAUUUUUCUUUUUAUUGCUGAGUGAUAAGAAUUCUGGAUACUCUGGAUAUUAGGCCCUUGUCUGAGAUAUGAUUUGCAACUAUUUUUUCUCGUUCUGUGGUUGUAUGUUCACAUUUGUAAUAUUGUCUCAACACACAAGAAUUCAAAAUUCUGAUGAGGUCUAAUUUAUUUAUUUUACCUUUGGUUGCUUGAGAUUUUGUUAUUAUAGCUAAGAAACCACUGCCUAAUUCAAGGUCAUGAGGAUUUACACAGAAGUUUCCUUCUGAGAAUGUUAUUUUUAGCUCUUACAUUUAGAUCUUGAUCAAUUUUGAAAUAUUUUUUGUAUAUGGUGUAAGGGGCUCAAAUUCAUUCUUCUACAUGUGGAUAUCCAGGUAUAUCAGCACUAUCUGUUGAAAAGAUAAUUCUAAUUGUUUUGGCACCCUAGUAAAAAUUAAUUGACUAAAGAUGUAAGAGUUUAUUUAAUUUUAUUCCUCACUCAUCUAUAUGUCUAUGCUUAUGCUAGUACUACACUUUCAAUUCCUGUAGUUUUUAGUAAGUUUUAAAAUCAGGAAGUGUGAAUUCUUCAACUUUGUUCAUCUUAAAGAUUGUUUUACUAUUCUUACAUUUACAAAUGAGAUUUAGAAUCAGCUUAUCCAUUUCUGCAGAAAAAGGAAAUGGAAAUUUUACAGGAAUUUCAUUGAACCUAUAAAUCAAUUUUGGGAAUAUUACCAUCUUAACAAUAUUAAGUUUUCCAAUCCAUGAAUAUGGAUAUCUUUCCAUUGAUUUAGGUCUUCUUUAAUCCUUUUUAAUGACAUUUUGUAGUUUUCAGCAUACAUGCCUUGUAAAUGUUUGUUAAAUAUAUUCUUAAAUAUUGUAUUAUUUUUGAUGUUAUUGUAAACGAUAUUGUUUGUUUAUUACAUUUUCAGAUCACUAAUAAUGUAUAAGAAUACAACAGAUUUUAUAUAUUGAUCUUGUAUCUUGCAAACUUGUAGAAAUUGUGUAUUACCUCUGACAGGUGUGUGUGUGUGUGUAUGUGUGUGUGUGUGUGUGUGUGUGUGUAUUCUUCAGGAUUUUAUAUGUGUAAGGUCAUGUCAUCGCAAAUAGAGAUCAUUUUAAUUCUUUCUUUUAAUAUUUUAAUCUUUGGGGCGCCUGGGUGGCUCAGUCGGUUAAGCGUCCGACUUCAGCCAGGUCACGAUCUCGCGUCCGUGAGUUCGAGCCCCGCGUCAGGCUCUGGGCUGAUGGCUCAGAGCCUGGAGCCUGUUUCCGAUUCUGUGUCUCCCUCUCUCUCUGCCCCUCCCCCGUUCAUGCUGUGUCUCUCUCUGUCCCAAAAAUAAAUAAACGUUGAAAAAAAAAUUAAAAAAAAAAAAGAAAAAAAAAUUUUAAUCUUUAAUCUUUUAAUCUGGAUUUUUAAAAUUUCUUUUUCUUGACUAACUGGAUAGAAUUUCAAUACAGUGUUGAAUAGAAGCGGGGAAGUGUGAACAUCCUUGUGUUUUUCUUUAUCUUAGGGGGAACACUUUCACUAUUAGGUAUGAUAUUAGCUGUGGGUUUUUUAUAUGCCAUUAAUUUUAUAUGCCAUCAAUCCUUUUAAUUUCUAGUUUGUUGAGAGUUUUUAUCUUUUUAAUUUUUUUAAUGUUUAUUUACUUUUUGAGUGACAGACAGAGCAUGAGUGGGGGAGGGGCAGAGAGAGAGGGAGACACAGAAUCCAAGGCAGGAUCUAGGCUCUGAGCUGUCAGCACAGAGCCUGAUUGGGGCUUGAACUCAUGAGCUGUGAGAUCAUGACCUGAGCCCAAGCUGGCCGCUCAACUGACUAAGCCACCCAGGUGCCCUGAAAGUUUUUAUCUUGAAAGAGAUUUUGUCAAGUGUUUUUUCUGUAUUUUACUUGUUAUAGGUUUAUUCAGAUUUUUUAUUUCUUCUUGAUUCCCUUUUGGUAGUUUGUGUCUUUCUGGUAAUUUUUCCAUCUCAUCUAGGUUAUUGAAUUUGUUGGCAUACAAUUCAUAGUGUUCCCUUAUAGUCCUUUUUUAUUUCUAUAUAAGUCCCUUCAUUCAUUCCUGAAGUUAGUAACUAGAGUCUUUUCUCUUUUUUACUUGGUCAGUAUAGCUAAAGUUUUGUCAAUUUUGUUGAACUUUUCAAAGAACCCACUGUUGGUUUGGUUGAUUCUCUCUGCUGUUUUUCUGUCUUUAUUUAUUUCUGUUCUAAUCUUUGGUUUUCCCUUCCUUCUGUUUGCUUUAGGUAUAGGUUGCUAUUCUUUUUCUAGUUCUUUAUGUAGGAAGAUUGGGUUAUUAAUUUCAUUUUUUUUCUAUUUCAAUGUGUUUAUAGCUAUGAUUUUCUCUCAGCAUGGUUUUCACUGCAUCCAUCAGUUUUGUUGUAUUAUGUUUUUGUUUUUGUUCCUAUAAAACUAUAUACUAACUUCUUUUUUGACCCAUUAUUUGCUUAGCAGUAAUUCUAAUUUCCAUAUAUUUGUGAAUUUUCCAAAUUUCUGUCUCCUGUUGAUUUAUAAUUUCAUUCCAUUGCAGCUGAUGAAUAUACUUUGUAUGAUUUCAGUCAUUUUAAAUUUAUUGAGACUUGUUCGUGGCCUAACAUAUGGUCUAUCUUUGAGAACAUUCCGUAUGCACUUGAGAAAAAUGUGUAUUUUGGUGUUUGUGUGGAGUGUUCUAUAGAUGUCUGUUAGGUUUAGUUGAUUUAUAGUAUUAUUCAAACCCACUAUUUCUUGCUUAUCUUGUCUAGUUGUUCUAUCUAUUGGGAUCACUAGCUAUUCUUACUCAAUUGUCUAUUUCUUUCUUUGAUUCUGUCUGUUUUUGCUUUAUGUGUUUUGGGGCUCUGCUGUAAGGUGCAUAUGUCAUCAUUGUCAUACCUUCUUAAAAUAUUAACACUUUUAUCAUUAUAAAAAUUCCUUCUUUGUUUCUAGUAAUCCUUUCUUGUUUUAAAUUCCAUCUGUCUGAUAUUAGUAUGGUCACUUCAGCUUCUUUUGGUUACUAUUUGCAUAGAAUAUCUUUUUCUAUUCUUUUACUUUCAAUAUAUUUGUGCCUUUGAAUCUAAAAUGUAUUUCUUAUAGACAGUAUGUAGUUGGAUCAUUUAAAAAAAUCCAUUCUGCCAAUCUCUUUUAUGUGGGAAUUUAGUCCAUCUAUACUUAAUAUAAUUACUGAUAAAGAAGGAUUUAUUUUUUUCUAUUUUACUGUUUGUUUUCUAUAUGUCUUAUAUUUUUUGUUCCUCAAUUAUUCCACUCCUGCAUUUUCCUAUACAUUAGGUAUUUUCUAGUGUAUCAUUGUAACUUUCCACGAUUUUUAAAGUUAUUUUCAUUGUGAUUACAAUGAACAUAUUAAUUUAUAAAAAUUUAUUUCAUGGGGCAUCUGGGUAGCUCAGUCAGUUAAGCGUCUGACUUCAGCUCAGGUCACGAUCUCAUUGUUCAUGAGUUCGGGCCCCACAUUGGGCUCUGUGCUGACAGCUCAGAGCCUGGAACCUGCUUCAGAUUCUGUGUCUCCCUCUCUCUCUCUCCACCCCUCCCCCACUCAUGAUCUGUCUGUCUGUCUCUCUCAAGAAUAAAACAUUAAAAAAAUGUUUAAAAAUUUAUUUCAUGUUAAUACCAACUUAAUUUUAUACUGUGCAAAAACUUUUUUCCCAUAUAGAUCCAUUCCCCUUCCUUUAUAUAUCUAGUAUCACAAAUGCCAUUUUUAUACAUGUGUGUCCGUUAUUAUACAUUUAUAUUAUUUUUUAUGAAAUUGUAUUUUAAAUCAUAUGGGAAAAAUGGAUUAAAAACAAAAAUAGUUUUCAUUAUUUUAUUUUUUUAAAGAUCUUUUAAAAUGUUUAUUUCAGAGAGAAAGAGAGAGGACAGACAGAGAGGGGGUUCUUUAUUUUUUCAUGAAGAUUUGAAUUAUAGUCUAGUGACUUUAUUAAUUUAUUUAUUUAGAAAGAGAGAUGGAGAGGCAGAGAGAUGGAGACAGAGGAUCCAAAGCAGGCUCUGCACUUAGCCUGAUGUAGGGCUCGAACUCACAAACUGUGAGAUCAUGACUUGAUCUAAAGUCAGAGGCUUAACCAUCUGAGCCACCCAGGCACCCUUAGUGAUCUUUCUUUUCAACCUGAGGGACUUUUAGGGUAGGCCUACUAGUGACAAACUCUUUUAGAUUGUUUUUGUUUGUUUUUAACCUGGGAAAGCUUUGAUUUCUCCUUCAUUUUUGAAGGACAGUUUUGACAGAUACAAAAUUCUUGUUUUUGUUUUUUUUAAAAUUUAGAUUCAAGUUAGUUAACAUAUAGUGUGGUAUUUGGUUCAGUAGAAUUUAGUGAUUCAUCACUUAUAUAUAACACCCAGUGUUCAUCCCAAUAAGUGCCCUCUUUAAUGGUCAUCACCCCUUAACCUGUCCCCCCACUCACCUCCCCUCCAGAAACCCUCAGAUUGUUCUUUAUACUUAAGAGUCUCUUAUGGUUUGCCUACCUCAACUGAUAUGAAAUUCUUAAUUGACAAUAUUUGUCUUUCAGCAUUUUGACUGUGUCAUCUGACUGCCUUCUGGUCUCCAUAGUUGCUGUGAGAAGUUGGCUGUUAUUGAAGACCCAUUGUACAUGGGGAGAAUCCUCUUUUGCUGCUUUCAAGGUUUUUUUCUUCAUGUUUAGCUUUCAACAGUCUACUUUGGUUUGCCUAGGUUGAAUCUCUUUGAUUCAUCCUACUUGAAUUUCACUGGGCUUUUCAGAUGUAUAGAUGAAUGUUUUCAUGAAAUUUGAGAAGAUUGUAUCAUUAUUUCUUUAGAUAAUCUUUCCUAUAUUUGUUUAUUUACUUAUUUAUGGUUUUUAUUUUUAAGUAAUCUCUUACAAUCCAAUGUGGGGUUUGAACUUACAACCCCUAGAUCAAGAGUCUCAUGCUCUAUUGACUGAGCCAGACAGGUGCCCUUCUUCAGACAAUCUUUCUAACACUUUCUUUUCUUCUGAGAUUCCUGUUACAUGAUGCUAUCAUGAUGGAUGAUGUCCCACAGUUCUCUGAGGCCUGUUAAUUUAUUUUUCAUUCUUUUUUCUCUCUCUUACUCAGGCUGGAUAAUUUCAAUUGACCCUCUCAAGUUUGAUUUUUAAAAAGUUUUUAUAUUGUGGAUUUUUUACUUGAUGGCACAAUGUUCAGUAGAUGUGAAACUUGUAACUCCUAUUUUGGGGGGAAUUCAUUGAAAUUUUAUUUAUGCCCUAACAGAAGCUCAAAUUUGUGACAAUUUCUUGUGUGUUUUAAAAUAAUGCAUGUCCUUUCUUUGCCACAUUCAAGGUGCUGUGUACAUCUUCAUAUAAUAUUUAAUUCAUAUAGGCUUUAGCUUUACACAAUUCUGGGAGUUUUUAAAUUGUUGAUACAUAAAAUAGUAUUUAAAAGUUUUCUUCUGUGAUUGUGAAAUUGUCAAUUUUUUUAUUUAUGUCCACUUUGCCUUAUAUAUUUUAUUGACAUGUGAUUAAGUAUAUGAUUCAUGAUUGUAACAUCUUGUAAAUUCCAUCUUUUUAUCAAUACAUGACGUUCUAUGUUGUUCCCUUCAUAGAAUCCUAUUUCCUGCUAUAACAGCAGAGUUGAGUAGUUGCCAUCCAGACUGUGUGGCUUCCAAAGCUUAAAAUAGUUACUGUUUGGCUCUUUAUAGAGGAAGUUUGCUGACCUUUGCUUUAAGAAGCUUUUAAUUAGCAGAUUUCUAUCUAAAAUCCAGUAAAAACCGCAUAUAUAGUAAUGAUUACUUUUGCCAGGAAGGUGGGAGAUGAUCAUACUGCAAAACAGUUGCAGAUUUGAUAUAGGUAUACUUUGGAGAUAUUGCAGAUUUCAUUCCAGACCAUUGCAAUAAACUGAAAAUCAUAAUAAAGUGAAUCAAUGAAAUUUUUGGUUUCCCAGUGCAUAUAAUAGUUAUGUUUAUACUAUACCAUAGUGUACUAAGUGUGCAAUAGCAUUAUGUCUAAAAAAUGUACAUCCCUUAAUUAAAAAAAAAUGUUUUAUUACUAAAAAAAUGCUAUCAUGUGAGCUUUCAGCCAGUCAUAAUCACUGAUCACAGAUCACCAUAACAUACUAGUAACACUGAGAAAGUUUGAAGUAUUGUGAGAAUCACCAAAAUGUGGCAUAAAGAUAUGAAGUAAGCAAAUGCUUUUGGAAAAAUUGUGUUGAUAGACUUGCUCGACUCAGGAUAGCUGUAAGCAUUUAAUUUGUUAAAAAAAAACCCAAACAUUAUCUGUGAAGUGCAAUAAAGUGAAGCAUGCCUGUAUGUGCAACUUCUCUGCCCUACCUCAUUUGAUAGUCCACAAGUAUGGGGAGCACCCUGUGUGCUGGAAAGGGAGGUAGACACUCUGGGUAUAUUACAACACUAGGGAACAUAAUCUUUAAUUUUAGGAGUACAUGUAGUCUAGUUGGAGAGAGAAAAUCCCUAUUGCUUAGAAAAAUUAUCCAGCUGUAUUUAAACAGGACCUGUUGGAUAUGUCAUUGUCUAAAUACAACAUGAGAAUCCCCAGAAGAAAGAAGCAUCUGAAAUUCUAAUAAUUCAGAGAAUUUUGAUUUGUACACUGAAAAAUAGCCUUCAUUUUAAUUUCAAGAUAUAUUAAAGGAUUAUCUUUAGGUAUUGUGUACCAGGACUAAUAAGUGUCAUAUUUUGCCUCACUUAAAAAAUACAUUUUGAAUUUCAUUGCUCUAUUUUAUUUUAUUUAUUUUUUUAAAGUUUAUUUGAGAGAGAGAAAAAGAGAGAGAGAGAGAGAGACAGCACAAGAAGGUGAAGGGCAGAGAGAAGGAGAGAUGGAAUCCUCAGCAGGCUCUGUGCCAUCAGUGCAGAGCCUGAUGUGGGGCUCCAAUCCACAAGCUGUGAGAUCAUGACCUGAGCCAAAUGAAGAGUCAGUCACUCAACUGACUGAGCCACCCAGGCACUCCUAAUUGCUCAAUUAAAAAAAAAAAAACAAACCUCUAUGAUUUCUAGGUUGAUAAAUAAACCUUGCAAAUUCAAACCAUACUUUUUCCCUUCCUGUUUUUAUUCAGCUUAACAGAAUCGAAAAACUGAAGUUUGACUUUCAUGGCCUAUAAGGUAUAAAGGUUGGACAGCCCGAAUAGAAAUAACUGGCCAUUGUAGGUUACUGACCUCUGCUUCCUUGAAGAGAUAAUGGUAGUUUUGUGGAAAGCAAUAGUGUUGACUGAAACUUGCGUACAACUUAGCUUCAUAACUAAGAAGCUGAAUGUUUCUUUUUCUAUAUAAGAGCGUGAAAAGGCCAUUUUAAUGUUUUCAUAGAGUGGCUUCUCUUGGAAAACAUCCUUGAACAUACCAUGGAGCGGUGUCAACUGUAAUAUAAAAUGUCCUAGAAGUCUUGCAAUUUACGAGUUUAAUGGCACACCUGAGGAUUACAAGGUUUUUUCCAUCCUACUCAUAAUAGCCCAAUGACUGAUUUAGCAGAGAGGAAGCAAGAUGGAUAAUCCUGAUCACCUUCUAAUAUUUUUCCUGUCUUGCUGACUUCAGAGAUUUAGAGGUACAGUAUUUGCAGGAUUUGUACAUCUUUUAGGUGAUAUUUUAGAGUCCAACGCAAGAGAUGAAGAGGAAGAAUGGCUCUUACAUAGGUACACAUACUUCAUUAUUUGCAAUUGAGAUUAUUUUUCAGACAUCCAGUUCUUUAUUGCUCAGCUGUUUUUCAUUUUGAAGAUCAGCUUAUAAAGGUAUAAGAGCUUCUUGACAUUGUGUUUUCUCUCUGUUGACACCACUAUCUUGAGCACUGAGGAAUAUGGAACAGCCGAAUGUAGUCCCAAGGUCUGGAUCUACUGAAUUUCCCUUUCCAGUCUCCAUUUUGUUUGUUUGUUUGUUUUAAAAAUCUAUAAAUGAGAAAAAUAAUAAAGGCACUUUUCUAAUAAGGUUAUUGUGAAGAUUUUCCUCUAAUAAUGUAAAGCAGUGGACAUAUAAUUACCACUUGAUUGUGUUCAUUACCUUAAUGUACACAUAAUUGGUUAUCUCCAGUGUGCCAUAUCACCUGAAUAAAAAUAACUUUUAAGACUCACGUAAUGCUCAUAUGUUGCAGUAAAGAAUAAUCUUUUGUCUGUAGAGCGCACAUUACCAACUGUAUGGUUCUAAUGAUGCUAAAAUAGUUUUUUUUUUCUGAUUUUAAGAAAUUAGGGUAUUUUUCAUCCUUCUCUUAAUUUUUCUUAAAUGUAUGCAUGUCUCUGUCUGUUUCUGGGCCUAUCUUCCUCUCUCUCUGUAUGACUUUAUUUAUCCAGUAUAUACAAUUCAGAAGAAAUGGAGGCUGUAGGGAUAUUUACAUGCUUAAAGGUUGUGCUUGUCCCAUUAUAGUUAGCAGCAGCUCCAGGAUGGAUACAAAGCCUGGAGAAAGAGGAGUCACUCUUUUUCCUGAUUCCAAGAUACAUCUCCAGAGCAUCCUGAGGUGAUGGACUUAAACUAAAAACUAUUAAUGCUGGGUUGUAAGUGUGAAUUUUUCUUUAGCACUGCUAGUCUCUCCUGAUAACUUCCUAUUUCACAAAGUUCUGGGGAAAACUGUUUGGGUUGCCCAAUUUGGAACCCAGCGAUCAAUGAGGGAGAGUAACUAACGGAGUUUUAAAGUAUCUAUUAUACCAAUAAGCUUCAAUUCUUCCCCACUGCAGAAGCAGGUAUAGACACUGAUGCUAUACCAUAGUUUUCUGACCGCUGUUCUUAUAACACCCUCCUGACAUUCUUCAGAUGGCAAUUAAAUUAAGUACCUUGAAAUCAUGUGGGUGGUUUAGCAAGUAAGCUGUAUCUGUGUCAUCAGGGUGUAUUUUUGCAUCACUAAUUUUCACAAUGGUAUUCAAAAGCUUUUGUGGAUAUCGACCACAGGAAAGAUGUGGGUAGCCUGAAGGAGCAAUUACGAAAGAAAAAAAAAUUAAAAGUGACCAAGCAGAACAACAAUAAAGGGUCUUUCUUCCUAUUGACUUGGUAAAGGUCAGACUACGUGUGUAGCAUCCAGUAUCAACAAAGUCCAAGAAAAUGACACUUCUCACAUGCUGCUGAGGGGGCAUUUCUCACAUCACUUUUUGGAAAGCAAUUUGACAACAAAUAUCAAAAUCUUAGAAGAAGUUCUGGGUGCCAGUCAUUCUCUUUUGGAAAUUUGGUGUGUGGAAAUAAUCUGCAGGAUGAUGUUGCUAUAGGAUGUUUAUCAUAGUUCUGUGUGUAAAUAGGGAAAAAAAACUCUCAAACAAGUUAUGUGUCUAACAGUAGGGAAUUACAGACGUGCAACAGAUAUUGUAAAAUAAUUAAAAUUGUGCUAUAGAAGAAUGGAAACUGUAUGAAAUGUGAAGGAAAAUGUAGGACAGGUUACAAAACAGCUUUACACUUUCCAAUUUUAAAUUUAUAUAUUGAUCAUAUUUUCUGGUAAGAUUGAAUGUGAGUUUAUGAUGUUAAUGUCUGACUUAUCUAUUUUUUUAAGUUUUCUACGAUAAACAUAUACUUUUGGCAAGAUGGGAAAAGAAUGGUGCUUUUUUUUUUAAACAAAAGAGACUAGCAAGAAUAUUUUAUUAUUUCAUUCAGAGAUUCCAAGUUCUCUGGGGUUAGAUUCAGUCUGUGAAAUAUCACAUAAUAAACACAAUAGAUAAAUCUAAUUGUCAGAGCAGCUGAUUUGUUUUCCAGUUAAGUGAAUUAUUUUUCUGAAACAAUCUGAUGAAUUUCUUGGUAAAGAUCAAGUCUUUAAAAAAUCCAAAUUUUCCUUUUGUUGAAUAAAACCAAUAAUACUGAUGUGAUUAUAAAGGAUAAAUAAAAACCAUAAGGGAAUAGACUUGGUCAAGCUUGUUCGGAAAACAUUUAUGAAUAAACUAUUUUCAAAGGACUGUGACCAACAUUGCUCCAAACCUUAAAUCUUUCUUGUCCUUCUGGGUGUUCUGUUAUGAAUGAAAAAGCAGAAAGACUUAAAUAAGAAAUCCUACUCACCAUCAAGCACCAUCUCACUUGCUGCUCUUUGUUGACUCAUAUCAAUUCCUGUGUUCUAGCCAAAAGUUGCUUCUUGAGAUUAUAAAGACCCAUGUGAUUUCCUCAAAAGGUAUUACCUUAAAGUCUACUUUCUAAAUAAAAAGUUUGGGUUAGUUGCCUGAGAGCAGGACAGUAUUUUCUAUACCCUGGGUGUGGAAUUUGGCAAAUGAGAGAAUCUGGACAAUUAACGUGAGUUAAUAAUAUUUAUGGAUACUCUUAGGUUUGGAGUCGCUUCUGUUACAAAUCUUUUCUAAGGAAAUUGAAGAACUUUACCUUAUGCUUCAUCGACUAGGUUUCUGGUUGCCCAUCCAGCUGAGUCCUUGCACCAUUGCAAGGUGAAUAGAAAAGUGUAUCUUGAGAAAUUCACCAUUUGUUGGAAGAAUUCAAGCAAAAAGGAAAAGGACUCCUUUCCUUGUAUGUCACUCCUCUUAAAAAAGACUAGAAGUAUCUGAGGACUGAAGGGGAGAAAGCUAUCAAUUUCCUGCUCCAGAGACUACAUGUGAUCCAAUUCCACUGCUUUCUUCUCCUGACACUCUUAACUUAGCUUGCAUGACAACCUUUUAUACAGUGAUGGACUAAGGACAUAUUGCAAUCAUCCUAGCAAGGGUGAAUCGUUUAAAUAACUCAUCGUGGUUGAGAAAAUGGUAGGGAGGACACUUUCUUUGCUGUUCCUUUCUCUGGAUAUAAAUCCUCAUGUUUGUUUUGGGACAUUGGAGCUUCAAUUUACUAAAAUUCUCUACUUUGUACAGCUUAAAGCACAUAAUACUACAGUUCUAGUCUUGCAAAAACUAUAUGAAGUAGUUAAAGUUUUUUUUU
This 15186-nucleotide long non-coding RNA is filed under the name Lynx pardinus (Iberian lynx). The record is from RNAcentral. Lineage: Eukaryota; Metazoa; Chordata; Mammalia; Carnivora; Felidae.